This 734-nucleotide long non-coding RNA is filed under the name Pan troglodytes (chimpanzee). Its description in RNAcentral is "long non-coding RNA NONPTRT016750". The record is from RNAcentral. Lineage: Eukaryota; Metazoa; Chordata; Mammalia; Primates; Hominidae.
GGUUUCCCGCCCCCGGAGGCCCUCACAUCUCCCCGGUAACGCUUAGGAAUUCGGGCAGCCAGCUCGCCUACCCCUGGGGAAUCGAGGCAGAGCUUCUGGGAAUGGGGUCUGAGGGAAGAGUGCUCACCAGGCAGUGACAUGUAGCCGUUGAGGAUCGCCACUGCCGUCUCGUUCUGUGUUCUGUAGUCAGAAGUCCAACAUGGUUCUCAAUGGCCUAAAAUCAAGGUGUCCACAGGAUUGUGUUCCUUUCUAGAGAGCAAGCUGCAGUGUGGUAAACUGCCUUUGAAAGAGACCCACAUGUCAAGAAACUGAGCAUCACCUGUGACCAACAGCCAGAAAGUAACUGAAGCCCCAAGACGAACAGCUUGUGCAAAACUAAAUUCUGCCUACAACAAGAGCAUGAAUCGAGACGCAGAUCCUUCCCUAGUUGAUCCUUGAAAUGCUUGCAGCUCUAUGGACACCUUGAUUGCAGCCUUGUGAGAAAUUCUGAACUAGAGGACCUCGUAUGCCUUACCCAUAGGACUUAGAAGAUAAUACGUGUUUUUCAAAAAAGUAAGUUUGGGGAUAAUUUCUUAUGCAGCAAUAGAUAAUGAAUAAUAAAGUAAAUACAGUUUUUUGCUGUUGACUUCAAAAAUGUUUAAAGAUUUUACUGUUAUAUAAUUGUACAUAUUUAUGGGGUACAUGUGAUAUUUUGAUACAUGCAUACAAUGUGUAAUGAUCAAACUGGGGUAAUU